GAUGAACGCUAGCGGCAGGCCUAACACAUGCAAGUCGAGGGAGAAGCCCUUUCGGGGGCAGAAACCGGCGCACGGGUGCGUAACGCGUAUGCAACCUACCUUUCACAGGGGGAUAGCCCGAAGAAAUUUGGAUUAAUACCCCAUAAUAUUAUUGGAUGGCAUCAUUUGAUAAUUAAAACUGCGGUGGUGAAAGAUGGGCAUGCGUCCUAUUAGCUAGUUGGAGUGGUAACGGCACCCCAAGGCUACGAUAGGUAGGGGUCCUGAGAGGGAGAUCCCCCACACUGGUACUGAGACAGGGACCAGACUCCUACGGGAGGCAGCAGUGAGGAAAAUUGGUCAAUGGUCGGAAGACUGAACCAGCCAUGCCGCGUGCAGGAAGAAUGCCUUAUGGGUUGUAAACUGCUUUUAUAUGGGAAGAAUAAGGCGUACGUGUACGUUGAUGACGGUACCAUAUGAAUAAGCAUCGGCUAACUCCGUG
Molecule: ribosomal RNA, 478 nt
Filed under: uncultured bacterium
Lineage: Bacteria
Description: partial 16S ribosomal RNA
Rfam family: Bacterial small subunit ribosomal RNA
Source: RNAcentral